UUAAGCGACUAAGCGUACACGGUGGAUGCCCUGGCAGUCAGAGGCGAUGAAGGACGUGCUAAUCUGCGAUAAGCGUCGGUAAGGUGAUAUGAACCGUUAUAACCGGCGAUUUCCGAAUGGGGAAACCCAGUGUGUUUCGACACACUAUCAUUACGUGAAUACAUAGCGUAAUGAAGCGAACCGGGGGAACUGAAACAUCUAAGUACCCCGAGGAAAAGAAAUCAACCGAGAUUCCCCCAGUAGCGGCGAGCGAACGGGGAGCAGCCCAGAGUCUGAAUCAGCUUGUGUGUUAGUGGAACGGUCUGGAAAGUCCGACGGUACAGGGUGAUAGUCCCGUACACCAAAAUGCACAGGUUGUGAACUCGAAGAGUAGGGCGGGACACGUGGUAUCCUGUCUGAAUAUGGGGGGACCAUCCUCCAAGGCUAAAUACUCCUGACUGACCGAUAGUGAACCAGUACCGUGAGGGAAAGGCGAAAAGAACCCCGGCGAGGGGAGUGAAAAAGAACCUGAAACCGUGUACGUACAAGCAGUGGGAGCCUACUUGUUAGGUGACUGCGUACCUUUUGUAUAAUGGGUCAGCGACUUAUAUUCUGUAGCAAGGUUAACCGUAUAGGGGAGCCGAAGGGAAACCGAGUCUUAACUGGGCGUUAAGUUGCAGGGUAUAGACCCGAAACCCGGUGAUCUAGCCAUGGGCAGGUUGAAGGUUGGGUAACACUAACUGGAGGACCGAACCGACUAAUGUUGAAAAAUUAGCGGAUGACUUGUGGCUGGGGGUGAAAGGCCAAUCAAACCGGGAGAUAGCUGGUUCUCCCCGAAAGCUAUUUAGGUAGCGCCUCGUGAAUUCAUCUUCGGGGGUAGAGCACUGUUUCGGCUAGGGGGUCAUCCCGACUUACCAACCCGAUGCAAACUGCGAAUACCGAAGAAUGUUAUCACGGGAGACACACGGCGGGUGCUAACGUCCGUCGUGAAGAGGGAAACAACCCAGACCGCCAGCUAAGGUCCCAAAGUCAUGGUUAAGUGGGAAACGAUGUGGGAAGGCACAGACAGCCAGGAUGUUGGCUUAGAAGCAGCCAUCAUUUAAAGAAAGCGUAAUAGCUCACUGGUCGAGUCGGCCUGCGCGGAAGAUGUAACGGGGCUAAACCAUGCACCGAAGCUGCGGCAGCGACACUAUGUGUUGUUGGGUAGGGGAGCGUUCUGUAAGCCGUUGAAGGUGGCCUGUGAGGGUUGCUGGAGGUAUCAGAAGUGCGAAUGCUGACAUAAGUAACGAUAAUGCGGGUGAAAAACCCGCACGCCGGAAGACCAAGGGUUCCUGUCCAACGUUAAUCGGGGCAGGGUGAGUCGACCCCUAAGGCGAGGCCGAAAGGCGUAGUCGAUGGGAAACAGGUUAAUAUUCCUGUACUUGGUGUUACUGCGAAGGGGGGACGGAGAAGGCUAUGUUAGCCGGGCGACGGUUGUCCCGGUUUAAGCAUGUAGGCGGAGGUUCCAGGUAAAUCCGGUACCUUUUUAACGCUGAGGUGUGAUGACGAGGCACUACGGUGCUGAAGUAACAAAUGCCCUGCUUCCAGGAAAAGCCUCUAAGCAUCAGGUAACACGAAAUCGUACCCCAAACCGACACAGGUGGUCAGGUAGAGAAUACCAAGGCGCUUGAGAGAACUCGGGUGAAGGAACUAGGCAAAAUGGUGCCGUAACUUCGGGAGAAGGCACGCUGAUAUGUAGGUGAAGUGAUUUACUCAUGGAGCUGAAAUCAGUCGAAGAUACCAGCUGGCUGCAACUGUUUAUUAAAAACACAGCACUGUGCAAACACGAAAGUGGACGUAUACGGUGUGACGCCUGCCGGUGCCGGAAGGUUAAUUGAUGGGGUUAUCCGUAAGGAGAAGCUCUUGAUCGAAGCCCCGGUAAACGGCGGCCGUAACUAUAACGGUCCUAAGGUAGCGAAAUUCCUUGUCGGGUAAGUUCCGACCUGCACGAAUGGCGUAAUGAUGGCCAGGCUGUCUCCACCCGAGACUCAGUGAAAUUGAACUCGCUGUGAAGAUGCAGUGUACCCGCGGCAAGACGGAAAGACCCCGUGAACCUUUACUAUAGCUUGACACUGAACACUGGUCCUUGAUGUGUAGGAUAGGUGGGAGGCUUUGAAGUGUGGACGCCAGUCUGCAUGGAGCCAUCCUUGAAAUACCACCCUUUAAUGGCUGGUGUUCUAACGUGGACCCGUUACCCGGGUUGCGGACAGUGUCUGGUGGGUAGUUUGACUGGGGCGGUCUCCUCCUAAAGAGUAACGGAGGAGCACGAAGGUUAGCUAAUCCUGGUCGGACAUCAGGAGGUUAGUGCAAAGGCAUAAGCUAGCUUGACUGCGAGAGUGACGGCUCGAGCAGGUGCGAAAGCAGGUCUUAGUGAUCCGGUGGUUCUGAAUGGAAGGGCCAUCGCUCAACGGAUAAAAGGUACUCCGGGGAUAACAGGCUGAUACCGCCCAAGAGUUCAUAUCGACGGCGGUGUUUGGCACCUCGAUGUCGGCUCAUCACAUCCUGGGGCUGAAGUAGGUCCCAAGGGUAUGGCUGUUCGCCAUUUAAAGUGGUACGCGAGCUGGGUUUAGAACGUCGUGAGACAGUUCGGUCCCUAUCUGCCGUGGGCGCUGGAGAAUUGAGGGGGGCUGCUCCUAGUACGAGAGGACCGGAGUGGACGCAUCACUGGUGUUCGGGUUGUCAUGCCAAUGGCAUUGCCCGGUAGCUAAAUGCGGAAGAGAUAAGUGCUGAAAGCAUCUAAGCACGAAACUUGCCCCGAGAUGAGUUCUCCCUGAGACUAUAAGUCUCCUGAAGGAACGUUAAAGACGAUGACGUUGAUAGGUCGGGUGUGUAAGUGUAGCGAUACAUUGAGCUAACCGAUACUAAUGAACCGUGAGGCUUAACCUU
This 2904-nucleotide ribosomal RNA is filed under the name Citrobacter freundii. Its description in RNAcentral is "bacterial LSU rRNA". It matches the Rfam family "Bacterial large subunit ribosomal RNA". Lineage: Bacteria; Pseudomonadati; Pseudomonadota; Gammaproteobacteria; Enterobacterales; Enterobacteriaceae. The record is from RNAcentral.